This 207-nucleotide ribosomal RNA is filed under the name uncultured bacterium. RNAcentral's name for it is "partial 16S ribosomal RNA". It matches the Rfam family "Bacterial small subunit ribosomal RNA", at positions 1294 to 1500 of the family's 1533-position model. The record is from RNAcentral.
CGGAUUGCAGGCUGCAACCCGCCUGCAUGAAGUCGGAAUCGCUAGUAAUCGCGGAUCAGCAUGCCGCGGUGAAUACGUUCCCGGGCCUUGUACACACCGCCCGUCACACCAUGAGAGUCGGGAACACCCGAAGUCCGUAGCCUAACCGCAAGGGGGGCGCGGCCGAAGGUGGGUUCGAUAAUUGGGGUGAAGUCGUAACAAGGUAAC